CGCAUCUGUGCAUGCAGUAUAUCAAUAAGCGGAGGAAAAGAAACUAACAAGGAUUCCCUCAGUAACGGCGAGUGAAGCGGGAAGAGCUCAAAUUUGAAAUCUUAAAGGGUUCCCUUUCACGAAUUGUAGUUUAAAGAAGUGUUUUCUGUUGACGGAUCUGGUAAUAUAAGUUCUGUGGAAUAGGACAUCAUAGAGGGUGAGAAUCCCGUAUUUGACCAUUACUUUUCAACUUUGUGAUACACUUUCAAAGAGUCGGAUUGUUUGGGAAUGCAGUCCAAAAUGGGUGGUAAAUUUCAUCUAAGGCUAAAUAUUGGCGAGAGACCGAUAGCGAACAAGUACCGUGAGGGAAAGAUGAAAAGAACUUUGAAAAGAGAGUUAAAUAGUACGUGAAAUUGUCAAAAGGGAAGCGUUUAACACCAGUGUUGUUUUCUGAAAAUCAACCUCUGUUAGCUUUAUGCAUGUUUGUUUAGACCUAAUCAGCUAUCUUGCAUGUUCUAUUGUUUGCAGUGGUGCACUUUUCAGUUUACAGGUCAACAUCAGUUUUUUUUACCGUAAAAAAGUUAAAGAAAGGUAGCUCAUGGCUCCGGUCGUGAGUGUUAUAGUCUUUUUCCUAUGCGGUAGGAGAGACUGAGGUCUGCAGUGUAGGCUAUUUGGCUAGAUACUCAGGUGCUAUGUGAUACCAUUUCAUAAACAACUUGUUGAUUAUGCUUUUGUCUAUUGCAUACUCGCUUGUACUAUCAUACCUACGCUUAGGAUGUUGACGAUCAGCUGAGCGCG
Molecule: ribosomal RNA, 777 nt
Filed under: uncultured Neocallimastigales
Lineage: Eukaryota; Fungi; Neocallimastigomycota; Neocallimastigomycetes; Neocallimastigales
Description: partial large subunit ribosomal RNA
Rfam family: Eukaryotic large subunit ribosomal RNA
Source: RNAcentral